Molecule: ribosomal RNA, 301 nt
Filed under: uncultured bacterium
Lineage: Bacteria
Description: partial 16S ribosomal RNA
Rfam family: Bacterial small subunit ribosomal RNA
Source: RNAcentral
CAGUAGCCGCGGUAAUACGAGGGGUGCAAGCGUUAUUCGGAUUGAUUGGGUGUAAAGGGUGUGCAGACGGCUUAUUAAGUCACUUGUUAAAUUCUUCGGCCUAACUGAAGGUCUGCAAGUGAUACUGAUGAGCUAGAGGGUGGAAGAGAGAAGUGGAAUUCUCGGAGUAGCGGUAAAAUGCGUAGAUCUCGAGAGGAACACCAAUGGCGAAGGCAGCUUCUUGGUCCAUUCCUGACGUUCAUACACGAAAGCGCGGGGAGCAAACAGGAUUAGAUACCCCAGUAGUCCCUGUCUCUUAUAC